This 596-nucleotide ribosomal RNA is filed under the name uncultured Methylophilaceae bacterium. Its description in RNAcentral is "bacterial SSU rRNA". It matches the Rfam family "Bacterial small subunit ribosomal RNA", at positions 19 to 610 of the family's 1533-position model. Lineage: Bacteria; Pseudomonadati; Pseudomonadota; Betaproteobacteria; Nitrosomonadales; Methylophilaceae. The record is from RNAcentral.
CUGGCUCAGAUUGAACGCUGGCGGAAUGCUUUACACAUGCAAGUCGAACGGCAGCACGGACUUCGGUCUGGUGGCGAGUGGCGAACGGGUGAGUAACAUAUCGGAACGUAUCCAAUAAUGGGGGAUAACUAAUCGAAAGGUUGGCUAAUACCGCAUACGCCCUGAGGGGGAAAGCUAGGGAUCUUCGGACCUGGCGUUAAUGGAGCGGCCGAUAUCUGAUUAGCUAGUUGGUGAGGUAAAGGCUCACCAAGGCGACGAUCAGUAGCUGGUCUGAGAGGACGACCAGCCACACUGGAACUGAGACACGGUCCAGACUCCUACGGGAGGCAGCAGUGGGGAAUUUUGGACAAUGGGCGCAAGCCUGAUCCAGCCAUUCCGCGUGAGUGAAGAAGGCCUUCGGGUUGUAAAGCUCUUUCGCAAGGGAAGAAAACUUAUCCUCUAACAUAGGAUGAGGUUGACGGUACCUUGAUAAGAAGCACCGGCUAACUACGUGCCAGCAGCCGCGGUAAUACGAAGGGUGCAAGCGUUACUCGGAAUUACUGGGCGUAAAGCGUGCGUAGGUGGUUUGUUAAGUCUGUCGUGAAAUCCCCGGGCUC